UACGGAGGGUGCAAGCGUUAUCCGGAUUCACUGGGUUUAAAGGGUGCGUAGGUGGGCAAGUAAGUCAGUGGUGAAAUCUCCGGGCUUAACCCGGAAACUGCCAUUGAUACUAUUUGUCUUGUAUACUGUGGAGGUCAGCGGAAUAUGUCAUGUAGCGGUGAAAUGCUUAGAUAUGACAUAGAACACCAAUUGCGAAGGCAGCUGGCUACACAAAUAUUGACACUGAGGCACGAAAGCGUGGGGAUCAAACAGG
Molecule: ribosomal RNA, 253 nt
Filed under: uncultured bacterium
Lineage: Bacteria
Description: partial 16S ribosomal RNA
Rfam family: Bacterial small subunit ribosomal RNA
Source: RNAcentral